UGAGUUGGCCAUCUGAGCGAG
RNAcentral lists this microRNA (21 nucleotides) under Pan troglodytes (chimpanzee). Its description in RNAcentral is "ptr-miR-571". Its record names the gene ptr-miR-571. Lineage: Eukaryota; Metazoa; Chordata; Mammalia; Primates; Hominidae. The record is from miRBase by way of RNAcentral.